GAUGAAGAACGCAGCGAAAUGCGAUACGUAAUGUGAAUUGCAGAAUUCAGUGAAUCAUCGAGUCUUUGAACGCACAUUGCGCCCCCUGGUAUUCCGGGGGGCAUGCCUGUCCGAGCGUCAUUGCUGCCCUCAAGCACGGCUUGUGUGUUGGGCCCCGUCCUCCGAUUCCGGGGGACGGGCCCGAAAGGCAGCGGCGGCACCGCGUCCGGUCCUCGAGCGUAUGGGGCUUUGUCACCCGCUCUGUAGGCCCGGCCGGCGCUUGCCGAUCAACCCAAAUUUUUAUCCAGGUUGACCUCGGAUCAGGUAGGGAUACCCGCUGAACUUAAGCAUAUCAUAAGCGGAGGA
RNAcentral lists this unclassified non-coding RNA (345 nucleotides) under soil metagenome. Its description in RNAcentral is "partial contains 5.8S ribosomal RNA, internal transcribed spacer 2, and large subunit ribosomal RNA". The stretch from base 1 to 120 matches the Rfam family "5.8S ribosomal RNA", at positions 35 to 154 of the family's 154-position model. The record is from RNAcentral.